This 558-nucleotide ribosomal RNA is filed under the name uncultured Bacteroidota bacterium. Its description in RNAcentral is "SSU rRNA". It matches the Rfam family "Bacterial small subunit ribosomal RNA", at positions 242 to 797 of the family's 1533-position model. Lineage: Bacteria; Pseudomonadati; Bacteroidota. The record is from RNAcentral.
CAGCUAGUUGGUAAGGUAACGGCUUACCAAGGCUACGAUGUUUAGGGGAUCUGAGAGGAUGACCCCCCACACUGGUACUGAGACACGGACCAGACUCCUACGGGAGGCAGCAGUAAGGAAUAUUGGUCAAUGGGCGCAAGCCUGAACCAGCCAUGCCGCGUGCAGGAAGACGGCCCUACGGGUUGUAAACUGCUUUUAUACCGGAAUAAACCUCUUUACGUGUAAGGAGCUGAAUGUACGGUAAGAAUAAGGAUCGGCUAACUCCGUGCCAGCAGCCGCGGUAAUACGGAGGAUCCAAGCGUUAUCCGGAUUUAUUGGGUUUAAAGGGUGCGUAGGCGGCCAAUUAAGUCAGGGGUGAAAGACGGUAGCUUAACUAUCGCAGUGCCUUUGAUACUGAUUGGCUUGAAUGUACUUGAGGUAGGCGGAAUGUGACAAGUAGCGGUGAAAUGCAUAGAUAUGUCACAGAACACCAAUUGCGAAGGCAGCUUACUAAAGUAUGAUUGACGCUGAGGCACGAAAGCGUGGGGAUCAAACAGGAUUAGAUACCCUGGUAGUCCA